RNAcentral lists this long non-coding RNA (1752 nucleotides) under Lathyrus oleraceus (garden pea). Its description in RNAcentral is "Pisum sativum (pea) long non-coding RNA (PSAT_LNC002097)". The record is from RNAcentral. Lineage: Eukaryota; Viridiplantae; Streptophyta; Magnoliopsida; Fabales; Fabaceae.
ACGAAGCCAAGCCUGAGUGGAGUGAGAUCCUUCAACAAUUUUCAUUUUCAUUUCGUCGUGUUCUAGUUUUUCUCUCUGUGUUUCACUUAUGCCUCUCACCGAAGCUUGCUCCACCGUCUCGGCACCGACAGAGCUGAGCUAAAACAGCCAAUAGUACCACCAUUCAAAAACUUGUGUCCUCCUCUUUCUCAAUCUAGCGUUAAUCUCAUCCAAAAUUCAAGCCAUUCUCAAAAUCUAACCAAAUCAGUCAAGAACCCUAAAUGCUAAGAAGUGAAACUAAACGAAGAAUGAGGGGAAUCAAGCCACUUCACCUUGGGGAUUUGAUUCCCAUCAAUGGAAGCUACAUUAUGGUGAAGAGAUCGAAGCAAAUAGAGGUAGAGAAGGACGAUAUAACAGCGAGACAGUGAUUCGUCUCGAAGAUUGUUGAAGCAAAGAAGAGGAAGAUGAAGCAAGAACACUAGAGACUCUUCAAUGUGGUAAGAAACUUGAAUCUCAAACUCUCAUAUGUCAUAGAUUCUUCUUCUUCUCUUUCCAAUGCCUAGUCUGUAGGGUGUAUUUCCUUGUGGUUGUUAUUGCUUUGUGCAUGUGAGUGUGAGGAAAUAUGAGUAGAGCUCAGAGAGAAUUCACAGAGAGUAGAGUGAUUGAAAGAAAAUUAGAGAGAAUUGAGAAAGUGUGUUCUGCAGAUUUUUGUGGAAUAUGAGUGAUGAUGAUGAUUGAAGGAGAUUGAGGAUUAUAUAGAGUUAGAUUACAACUAAAUCAGGUAGAUAUUGGGUAAGAUAGUUGAUCAGUCACCAUUUGUGUUAGUUUUAUUGUCAUUUGAAUGCCUAAAACAGGUGAAUUGAUGUGAGGUUGAGCAGUAGUUUAAGCUUAUUUUGGUAGAUUUUAUCAUGUCUUAAUUUCUGCGGUUUUUAUUGAUUAUGAGCUAGUUGAUGCGCUUGAGUUAAUGUUUCAUGUGUUUACAUGUAUGGAGAUUCAAGAGGAAAUCGAUAAGGGAAGAAACCAGACAAAGAUACAUGAGCAGGAGAGAAAAAGAAGAUUUUGCAAAUCUCUUGUCCAUACGCGUAUGAGGGGUCUCAUAUGUGUAUAGCCACUCAGCCAUGCCUUCCAGGAUACGUGUACCACCAGUAAGGAUGUAAAAAUCAAGCUUCUGCCCAUACUCGUAUGGGAGGGCCCAUGCGCGUAUGAGGCCAGCCAACCAGGCCCCCUUCUGCGCAGCCAGAGCCUUACGUGUAUGGCUCCAGCUACGGCAUACGCCCUACCCUGGGCCAUACGCGUAUGAGACAAUGAAAAAAUAGGUCAUAUGCGUAUAGGUGGAGGCCAUACACGUAUGGCACGACAUAGAUCUUACAAAGCCCAAAUUUUGUCUAUUUAGCCGAAAAAUGCGAAUUUCCAAGGGUUGGAUGAUUUUUUAGUACAGAGAAAGCGUUUUGAAGGUUGGAGCACUGAAGAAUUCGUGGUGGAUCAAGGAUUUCAUGAAAUUUUAUGCUUGAAGACCUCUUUUCUUCCAUUAAUUUGUAAUGUUUAUACUUUCUGUCUUGUUUUUCUUUAUUGUUAUGAGUUGUUAAACCCCCCAAUGAUAUGGGGUGUCCCUGAUUCGGAUUUAUGAUACAGUUCUAAAUUUCAACCUUCUAAUGACUUUGAUUUUGUGAUAUUUGAUUUAUUUACAAUUUGUGCUUAAUGUUUUCUCUUUCAUAAAAAUUGAGACUGAUAUGUGGUUAAUAUUUAGGCUGGACCGCCAUUGUUAACGCUUAA